GACGAACGCUGGCGGCGUGCUUAACACAUGCAAGUCGAACGGUAAGGCCCUUCGGGGUACACGAGUGGCGAACGGGUGAGUAACACGUGGGUGAUCUGCCCUGCACUUCGGGAUAAGCCUGGGAAACUGGGUCUAAUACCGGAUAGGACCACUGCCUGCAUGGGUGGUGGUGGAAAGCUCUUGCGGUGUGGGAUGGGCCCGCGGCCUAUCAGCUUGUUGGUGGGGUGAUGGCCUACCAAGGCGACGACGGGUAGCCGGCCUGAGAGGGUGACCGGCCACACUGGGACUGAGAUACGGCCCAGACUCCUACGGGAGGCAGCAGUGGGGAAUAUUACACAAUGGGCGCAAGCCUGAUGCAGCGACGCCGCGUGAGGGAUGACGGCCUUCGGGUUGCAAACCUCUUUCAGCACCGACGAAGCGCAAGUGACGGUAGGUGCAGAAGAAGGACCGGCCAACUACGUGCCAGCCGCCGCAGUAA
This 478-nucleotide ribosomal RNA is filed under the name uncultured bacterium. RNAcentral's name for it is "partial 16S ribosomal RNA". It matches the Rfam family "Bacterial small subunit ribosomal RNA", at positions 28 to 523 of the family's 1533-position model. The record is from RNAcentral.